Molecule: ribosomal RNA, 247 nt
Filed under: uncultured bacterium
Lineage: Bacteria
Description: partial 16S ribosomal RNA
Rfam family: Bacterial small subunit ribosomal RNA
Source: RNAcentral
AUACGGAGGGUGCAAGCGUUGUUCGGAAUUAUUGGGCGUAAAGCGCGUGUGGGCGGUCUUUUAAGUCUGAUGUGAAAGCCCCGGGCUCAACCUGGGAAGUGCAUUGGAUACUGGCAGACUUGAAUACGGGAGAGGGCAGUGGAAUUCCUGGUGUAGGAGUGAAAUCCGUAGAUAUCAGGAGGAACACCGGUGGCGAAGGCGGCUGCCUGGACCGAUAUUGACGCUGAGACGCGAAAGCGUGGGUAGC